GAUGAACGCUGGCGGCGUGCCUAAUACAUGCAAGUCGAGCGAACGGACGAGAAGCUUGCUUCUCUGAUGUUAGCGGCGGACGGGUGAGUAACACGUGGAUAACCUACCUAUAAGACUGGGAUAACUUCGGGAAACCGGAGCUAAUACCGGAUGAUAUUUUGAACCGCAUGGUUCAAAAGUGAAAGACGGUCUUGCUGUCACUUAUAGAUGGAUCCGCGCUGCAUUAGCUAGUUGGUAAGGUAACGGCUUACCAAGGCAACGAUACAUAGCCGACCUGAGAGGGUGAUCGGCCACACUGGAACUGAGACACGGUCCAGACUCCUACGGGAGGCAGCAGUAGGGAAUCUUCCGCAAAGGGCGAAAGCCUGACGGAGCAACGCCGCGUGAGUGAUGAAGGUCUUCGGAUCGUAAAACUCUGUUAUUAGGGAAGAACAAAUGUGUAAGUAACUGUGCACAUCUUGACGGUACCUAAUCAGAAAGCCACGGCUAACUACGUG
This 497-nucleotide ribosomal RNA is filed under the name uncultured bacterium. RNAcentral describes it as "partial 16S ribosomal RNA". It matches the Rfam family "Bacterial small subunit ribosomal RNA", at positions 28 to 507 of the family's 1533-position model. The record is from RNAcentral.